GGGGCAUUAGCUCAUUUGGCUAGAGCGCUUCGCUGGCAGCGAAGAGGUGGUCAGUUCGAAUCUGAUAUGCUCCAC
This 75-nucleotide transfer RNA is filed under the name Sphingobacterium thalpophilum. Its description in RNAcentral is "tRNA-Ala(ggc)". It matches the Rfam family "tRNA". From Rfam's summary of the family: Transfer RNA (tRNA) molecules are approximately 80 nucleotides in length. Their secondary structure includes four short double-helical elements and three loops (D, anti-codon, and T loops). Further hydrogen bonds mediate the characteristic L-shaped molecular structure. tRNAs have two regions of fundamental functional importance: the anti-codon, which is responsible for specific mRNA codon recognition, and the 3' end, to which the tRNAs corresponding amino acid is attached (by aminoacyl-tRNA synthetases). tRNAs cope with the degeneracy of the genetic code in two manners: having more than one tRNA (with a specific anti-codon) for a particular amino acid; and 'wobble' base-pairing, i.e. permitting non-standard base-pairing at the 3rd anti-codon position. Lineage: Bacteria; Pseudomonadati; Bacteroidota; Sphingobacteriia; Sphingobacteriales; Sphingobacteriaceae. The record is from RNAcentral.